RNAcentral lists this ribosomal RNA (253 nucleotides) under uncultured bacterium. RNAcentral describes it as "partial 16S ribosomal RNA". It matches the Rfam family "Bacterial small subunit ribosomal RNA", at positions 524 to 776 of the family's 1533-position model. The record is from RNAcentral.
UACGUAGGUGGCAAGCGUUGUCCGGAUUUACUGGGCGUAAAGAGCGCGCAGGCGGUCGAGUAAGUCGAUUGUGAAAGCCCCCGGCUUAACUGGGGAGGGUCAUUCGAUACUGUUCGACUUGAAGGCAGGAGAGGGCAGCAGAAUUCCCGGUGUAGUGGUGAAAUGCGUAGAUAUCGGGAGGAAUACCAGUGGCGAAGGCGGCUGCCUGGCCUGUUCUUGACGCUGAGGCGCGAAAGCUGGGGGAGCAAACGGG